AAGCCGCUAUUCGAAGACCCUCCUCCACAUCAGAUUCACCUUCUGGCCUUGACGGCUAUCAGAAUUUGUCAUCCAAGACUAGUACCGACUUUAAAAGGAGAAAUAAAUCCAAGGAAAAGUUCGAGUUCGAUGAGAACAAUGCCCAGAUCUUUAGGUUGAAGCUCGAUGAAGCUCAUCUUCAAUCUCGCCUCUACUUCCAUGAUUACUGGUAUUCCUUUAUUUGCUCAUCAGUUGCGCUUUCUUGCUUGUUGCUUUAUAAGUAUUUGGAUGUGGUUGAACAUGAUGGGAUCUUUGCAAUUGGAUCUUUAAUUCCACUGAUUUUAGGAUUUGCUGGCUUAUCCAAAUUAUUUUUAUCGUUAGCAAGAGCUUCGUUAGAGAAAUCUGCCUCGAAGAGGUCGGACAAACAAUUGAGUGCGCUUUUGGGGAUUCUGGCCUUCCUUUUUGGGCUUAUGAUUUGUUCAGGAGUUUUUCAUUCGGUUUUUGACUUCGAUUUUGGUUCAGUUGACGGCUAUGGAAGGGUUUUUGUUGCAUUUUUAAUGGGAUGCCUUGCUGGGUUUAUGUACAUGCCAGCGGCCAAGAAUGCACGGGCAUUUUGGCUUGGAACAGAUCAGCUUAGGUCUAAUAUGGCUAUGAUUUCCUGUGGAUGGUUUGCUAGGAUCAUCCUAUAUGCCAAUUAUUUGUUGUCUUUUUUCACAGCAUUGCUUUGGAUUAAUCCAUUAGGUGAUUUUCUUAUCAGCAAAACCAUUGUUUAUAGUAAAAGAACAUAUUCAAAUUCAAGCAGCAGUGCUGGAGAUGCUAACAAGUUAGUUGGGAAUGUCGGUUUUACGCAAUCAGAGUUUUCAAAGGUUAGGCUUUGGUGCUUGUUACUUUCGGGGCUUGUCCAGAUUGUGGCUUUACGGCCAAACUUGCAAAUGUAUUUGAAUGAAGCAUUGUUGUCUUGGUACCAGCGGUUGCACGCCAGCAAGGUUCCAGAUNGAUUUGGAUUUCAGCAGAGCUAAGGUUUUUUUGCACAACCACUACUUAUGUCUUGUAGUUUUGCAGUUUUUAGCACCGCCAACUCUAGCACUUCUCUUCCUUGGUCUAUCUCAGAUUGGUAUCCCAUUUAAGAAUUUACAAUUGUUAUGCAGUUUACUUCCUUGUAGUGCUUUUGUGAAAGAAGUGACUUUGCUUAUGGCCUGGUGGGUUAUCUUUCUUUGGGCAGUUUUUACUUCAGCAAGUCUAUUCUUGUACCGUCGUGGCAUUUUGUAUGUUUCUUGAUUGAUUUUAAUGUUUUUCCUGGUGGACUUCAAUGCUGUGUCUGGGACUACAUUAAAAUCAAUCAAGAAACAUACAAA
Molecule: unclassified non-coding RNA, 1334 nt
Filed under: Hevea brasiliensis (rubber tree)
Lineage: Eukaryota; Viridiplantae; Streptophyta; Magnoliopsida; Malpighiales; Euphorbiaceae
Source: RNAcentral